Molecule: long non-coding RNA, 507 nt
Organism: Pygocentrus nattereri (red-bellied piranha)
Lineage: Eukaryota; Metazoa; Chordata; Actinopteri; Characiformes; Serrasalmidae
Source: Ensembl
AUGGCUAAUUCUCUUGGACUGUGGCCUCUUUCUCCUCAGCUCCUUUCCUGUAAUCGGUCAGCACGGCAAGAUGGGCAGCUACCCAACCGCUGUGCUUCUGUGUUGUUUCUAUGGAUUCGUCGCUGUCUGGGCCCAGGAGACAGAGCUGCCGUACUUAGAAAAUGGGGAAACAGCAACAGGUCAGUGCAUAGCACACACACACACACACACACACACACACACACACACAUAUAUAUAUAUUGUGUUGGUCAUCCUCUAGUCCUUCAUCAGUGGUCACAGGACGCUGCCCACAGAACGCUGGAUAUUUUUGGUUGGUGGACUAUUCUCAGUCCAGCAGCAACACUGAGGUGUUUAAAAACUCCAGCAGCACUGCUGUCUGAUCCACUCAGACCAGCACAACACACACUAACACACCACCACCACGUCAGUGUUACUACAGUGCUGAGAAUGAUCCACCACCCAAAUAGUACCUGCUCUGUGAGGGUCCAUGGGGUCCUGACAUACUAA